UGGGGAAUUUUGGACAAUGGGGGAAACCCUGAUCCAGCCAUCCCGCGUGUGCGAUGAAGGCCUUCGGGUUGUAAAGCACUUUUUGCAGGAAAGAAACGUCAUGGGUUAAUACCCCGUGAAACUGACGGUACCUGCAGAAUAAGCACCGGCUAACUACGUGCCAGCAGCCGCGGUAAUACGUAGGGUGCAAGCGUUAAUCGGAAUUACUGGGCGUAAAGCGUGCGCAGGCGGCUCGGAAAGAAAGAUGUGAAAUCCCAGAGCUCAACUUUGGAACUGCAUUUUUAACUACCGGGCUAGAGUGUGUCAGAGGGAGGUGGAAUUCCGCGUGUGGCAGUGAAAUGCGUAGAUAUGCGGAGGAACACCGAUGGCGAAGGCAGCCUCCUGGGAUAACACUGACGCUCAUGCACGAAAGCGUGGGGAGCAAACAGG
Molecule: ribosomal RNA, 429 nt
Filed under: Acidobacteriota bacterium
Lineage: Bacteria; Pseudomonadati; Acidobacteriota
Description: Acidobacteria bacterium partial 16S ribosomal RNA
Rfam family: Bacterial small subunit ribosomal RNA
Source: RNAcentral